AUUGACAACGCGCCCGAGCGCCGGCGCACCGGCAAGAACAAGGACAAGUAUGAGAUGCUGCCGUACCCCGGCAACACGCUCAUGGAUGAGGCUGACCUGAAGGGCAUGCUGCGUGCCAUGGCGCCCUUCAUCGUGCGCGCAUAGGGUCUUAACUGCCAGGUUGAAGUCGCACACGCGGAAGACCUUGCUGCCAUCAGGCGCGAUGUCGUACAGCAGGUUGGCGGGCUUCAGGUCAAAGUGCAUGUAGCCGCGAGCGUUCAGGUGCUUUGAUGAAGAGCGCCAUGGCACGCAGCAUGCCCUUCAGGUCGGCCUCAUCCAUAAGCGUGUUGCCGGGGUACGGCAGCAUCUCAAACUUGUCCUUGUUCUUGCCGGUGCGCCGGCGCUCGGGCGCGUUGUCAAU
This 400-nucleotide microRNA precursor is filed under the name Chlamydomonas reinhardtii. RNAcentral describes it as "miR1163 stem-loop (cre-MIR1163)". The record is from miRBase by way of RNAcentral. Lineage: Eukaryota; Viridiplantae; Chlorophyta; Chlorophyceae; Chlamydomonadales; Chlamydomonadaceae.